AGUGGCGAACGGGUGAGUAACACGUGGGGCGAACCUAGCCCAAAAGAGGGGGGAUAACACUUGGAAACAGGUGCUAAUACCGCAUAACCAUAGUUACCGCAUGGUAACUAUGUAAAAGGUGGCUAUACUACCGCUUUUGGAUGGGCCCGCGGCGCAUUAGCUAGUUGGUAGGGUAAAGGCUUACCAAGGCAAUGAUGCGUAGCCGAAUUGAGAGGUUGAUCGGCCACAUUGGGACUGAGACACGGCCCAAACUCCUACGGGAGGCAGCAG
RNAcentral lists this ribosomal RNA (270 nucleotides) under uncultured bacterium. RNAcentral's name for it is "partial 16S ribosomal RNA". It matches the Rfam family "Bacterial small subunit ribosomal RNA", at positions 94 to 354 of the family's 1533-position model. The record is from RNAcentral.